RNAcentral lists this transfer-messenger RNA (368 nucleotides) under Chitinophagales. RNAcentral describes it as "JAFDYS01 sp018267315 Standard tmRNA". It matches the Rfam family "transfer-messenger RNA". Rfam says of the family: Bacterial tmRNA, also known as 10Sa RNA or SsrA, is named for its dual tRNA and mRNA-like properties. The record is from RNAcentral. RNAcentral also lists the same sequence under 1 other name. Lineage: Bacteria; Pseudomonadati; Bacteroidota; Chitinophagia.
GGGGCUGACCGGCAUUGACAGCAUCGUUCUUUGAAAGUAAGCAUGCCGAGCAUUGGAAGCCAAGCUCGUUAAUCAUCAACUUCCGACGCCAUAAUUGGCAACUAUCAAAUGUCAAUGGCUGCUUAAUCGCAAAGCGGUUAAAGCCAUUAGUUCCCUGCAGGCCACGUGCUGCCGCCUGCAACCGGAACUUCAUCAUGCAGCGCUGGUUCUUGACCGCUGAUUGUUAAGAGCGAGAAACUACAUCAGCUAAGAGCAUAUGUUGGUUGUCUUUUACCAAGUGUGCUCCGAAAACCAAUAAAAGAAUAAGCAUGUAGAAAGCUUUCGAUGGCUUUGUCUGGACCAGGGUUCGAUUCCCUGCAGCUCCACCA